GCCGGCAUAGCUCAGUUGGCUAGAGCGUCAGCCUAACAUGCUGAAGGUCGCGAGUUCGAGCCUCGCUGCUGGUA
Molecule: transfer RNA, 74 nt
Organism: Galdieria sulphuraria
Lineage: Eukaryota; Rhodophyta; Bangiophyceae; Galdieriales; Galdieriaceae
Rfam family: tRNA
About the family: Transfer RNA (tRNA) molecules are approximately 80 nucleotides in length.
Source: Rfam